This 69-nucleotide transfer RNA is filed under the name Ictidomys tridecemlineatus (thirteen-lined ground squirrel). RNAcentral describes it as "Spermophilus tridecemlineatus (thirteen-lined ground squirrel) tRNA". It matches the Rfam family "tRNA". From Rfam's summary of the family: Transfer RNA (tRNA) molecules are approximately 80 nucleotides in length. Lineage: Eukaryota; Metazoa; Chordata; Mammalia; Rodentia; Sciuridae. The record is from Rfam by way of RNAcentral.
GGGGCUGUGGCUCAGUGGUAGAGCGCUUGCCUGGCACGCAUGAGGCCCUGGGUUCAAUCCUCAGCACCA